GGGGGAUUUCUCUCACGGCAUCAGGGAGGUGUCCAGGUGUUUCUGAACACAAUCCUCGAAUUCGGAAACUCCAGCCAAAGACGUUUUCCUUUAAAAUGCCCACCCGCUGCCAAGUUUAUGGAAUGUUGCAGGCUGAGAAGAUGCACUGUGGUGUGUGUACCCAUGGGGAGGUGUGUGUUUUUUCCUGCAUGCCACAGCCACAAGCAGAGGCAAUUCCAGCUCUGCAGCUCCGCUCUGCCCCAGCCAGGCUCC
Molecule: non-coding RNA, 252 nt
Organism: Lonchura striata (white-rumped munia)
Lineage: Eukaryota; Metazoa; Chordata; Aves; Passeriformes; Estrildidae
Source: RefSeq, a predicted model, not a curated record